AGCGAAAAUAGCUCAAGGGUAGAGUAUGACUUUGCCAAGGUUAUGGUUAAGGGUUCAAGUCCCUUUUUUCGCUA
RNAcentral lists this transfer RNA (74 nucleotides) under Cyanidiococcus yangmingshanensis. Its description in RNAcentral is "tRNA-Gly". It matches the Rfam family "tRNA". From Rfam's summary of the family: Transfer RNA (tRNA) molecules are approximately 80 nucleotides in length. Their secondary structure includes four short double-helical elements and three loops (D, anti-codon, and T loops). Lineage: Eukaryota; Rhodophyta; Bangiophyceae; Cyanidiales; Cyanidiaceae. The record is from RNAcentral.